GGGGAAUAUUGGACAAUGGGGGCAACCCUGAUCCAGCAAUGCCGCGUGUGUGAAGAAGGUCUUCGGAUUGUAAAGCACUUUCGACGGGGACGAUGAUGACGGUACCCGUAGAAGAAGCCCCGGCUAACUUCGUGCCAGCAGCCGCGGUAAUACGAAGGGGGCUAGCGUUGCUCGGAAUGACUGGGCGUAAAGGGCGCGUAGGCGGCGGCGUAAGUCAGAUGUGAAAUUCCUGGGCUUAACCUGGGGGCUGCAUUUGAGACUGCGUUGCUAGAGGAUGGAAGAGGCUCGUGGAAUUCCCAGUGUAGAGGUGAAAUUCGUAGAUAUUGGGAAGAACACCGGUGGCGAAGGCGGCGAGCUGGUCCAUUACUGACGCUGAGGCGCGAUAGCGUGGGGAGCAAACAGGA
Molecule: ribosomal RNA, 404 nt
Filed under: uncultured Rhodovarius sp.
Lineage: Bacteria; Pseudomonadati; Pseudomonadota; Alphaproteobacteria; Acetobacterales; Roseomonadaceae
Description: bacterial SSU rRNA
Rfam family: Bacterial small subunit ribosomal RNA
Source: RNAcentral